CACCAUUUGUGGAGUAUGUCCAGAUACGUUGGCUGUGCAGACGCCACUUUGCCAUUUGGAACAUCCAGCUGAGACCUGAAUCCAGAAGAUCCUUACUUGUAGGCAGCAGCCUUAUCAACAGAACAUCCUGAGCUGCCUCCUCUGAGGCUCUGACCUCGGAUCCACUAUGGAUCUCACUGGAGAAAGCAACAGACCAGGAGGGUGAAGAGAAACAAGAGAUGAAGAAGGUGCAAAUUGCCAACACUGACAAAGUCUUUCUCCUCAUCCUCACUCUGAUCUGAAGAAAGCUCAUAAACAUCCACCACUACAGUAAAGGACAACUUUGGAACUGAGGAUGGUCCUGAAACAGGAGGAAGGAGCUGGCCCCACAGACCUGCGGAGUACUGGAUUCAGAGAAAUACUCGGCUCUGCACCUCUGGUCUUCAAAGGGGAAGACAGAACUGACUUGGAUUUCAGAGACAGAACUGCAGAGGCCAUGUCAGAAUUGGACAGAUCCAAAUAGUCUGAUAUCUGGCACUGUUAACAGGGGCCGUCUUCUCCAGAACAGAUACAUUUGGCGCCGACGUGGCUCUAAGUUUCUUAAGCAGUUAGCCUUUUUUUCCCACGAACAGUGCCUCUGAAGCUUAACAGCUUUAAUAGAAGGAGCCAGCACCGACAAAGAUCCCAGUCUUGGAACCAUUAGACCGCCUAGAAGUACCUGCAGUCUGUUCUGUUUCUCCUGGUAGGCUCUGGGCAUGACAGAGCACUCUGGCAAAUAGAACUCCCAGGAGUGUGGCCUUACCCCAUGCACCUAAGGCAUCUAAAAUGGUUGUCUGAUGCCAGGAAGACAGAUGGGCACAAAGCACAUCUCUGAAAACCCAGCCUCCUCUUUGGUUCUGCCAAUACACAGAACCCACCUUACAAGCUAGACUGAACUCUCUAGAUUUAAAAACUACCUUGUACUAAAAAGAAUUCUAAAGUCAGAAUAUUUGGAAUCGCUUGAGGGAGGAGUAGGAAGGGGUACAUGUGCACUCUAAUGGGCAAUACUAGGUAGCACCAGGUGACAUGUUACCAUAAGUGUGACUAUGCAGAGCCACUAAUAGAAGAAGCUCCGACACUUUAAACUGAAAUGCUCUGGCCCAAAGCAGAGGUCUGGCAUGCCACACACAGCCCAAGCAUGUUUACAACAGAGUUAGAAACGCUAGGGGAGGGAAUACCCAAUACAUUUAGCACAGCAGUGAUAUGGGACUAGCCUGUGUGGAUAUCAGCAUACCCACAGACAUCUUCUUGUCACUCUGUUCAAAGCAUAACAACUUCUGGUGGCAACAAUGCUUUAGGAUUCCAGCAUCAUUCUUUUCAAUGCAGGUUUGUAAGAGACAGACACUUAGUGAUGUGGGCAUAUGGACCUUUAAAAAAGCAGCUCCCCUUAUGACAGCUGGGCAAAGAUUUCAAAAAUUCCUGGCCAAUGUUUGAAUACAAAACAGUGAAUUUAUAUCCCCUUUUUGCCAACAAAAUGGUGUUCCUAAAAAUGUUUAUGAAAAGGAAACAAAAAAGUGAUGCAAGCACUCGUGCAAAUACAUAAAUACUGCACAAGUACUAGCUCCAGAAGUGU
Molecule: long non-coding RNA, 1591 nt
Organism: Mauremys reevesii (Reeves's turtle)
Lineage: Eukaryota; Metazoa; Chordata; Testudines; Geoemydidae
Exons: 3
Source: RefSeq, a predicted model, not a curated record